GAUGAGACAUACAAGUCGCACGAUAUGGGGGCAACUCCAUAUAGUGGCGCAAGGGUUAGUAAUACAUGGAUAAUCUGCCUCUGACACUGGAAUAACGUCUGGAAACGGACGCUAAUACCAAAUGAAGUUUCGCAAGGCAUCUUGCGAGGAUUAGAGCGGGGGACCGAAAGGCCUCGUGGUGAGAGAAGAGUCCAUGAGAUAUCAGCUAGUUGGUGAGGUAAGAGCUCACCAAGGCUAAGACGUCUAGGCGGAUUGAGAGAUUGACCGCCAACACUGGGACUGAGACACUGCCCAGACUCCUACGGGAGGCAGUAGUCGAGAAUCUUUCGCAAUGGGCGAAAGCCUGACGAAGCGACGCCGUGUGAGCGAUGAAGGCCUUCGGGUUGUAAAGCUCUUUUGUAAGGGAAUAAGGCUUUUUGGUUAAUGACCAGAAAGAUUGACUGUACCUUAAGAAUAAGCACCGGCUAACUCCGUGCCAGCAGCUGCGGUAAUACGGAGGGUGCAAGCAUUGAUCGGAUUGACUGGGCGUAAAGGGCGCGUAGGCUGUAUGAUAAGUUAGAUGUGAAAUUCCGGGGCUCAACUCCGGAGCUGCAUCUAAAACUGUCAAACUAGAGGUUGGUAAGGGAAAACGGAAUUUCGGGUGUAGCGGUGAAAUGCGUAGAUAUCCGAAAGAACACCGGUGGAGAAGUCGGUUUUCUGUACCAAACCUGACGCUGAGGCGCGAAAGCUAGGGGAGCAAACAGGAUUAGAUACCCUGGUAGUCCUAGCCUUAAACGAUGUAUACUAGAAGUAGGAGGGCUCAACCCUUUCUGUUUCGGAGCUAACGCGUUAAGUAUACCGCCUGGGGAGUACGCUCGCAAGGGUGAAACUCAAAAGAAUUGACGGGGGCCCGCACAAGCAGUGGAGCAUGUGGUUUAAUUCGAUCCACGCGAAGAACCUUACCUGGGCUCGAAAUGUAGAGGACAAUACAAGAGAUUGUACUCCCGUAAGGGUCUCUAUAUAGGUGCUGCAUGGCUGUCGUCAGCUCGUGCCGUAGGUGUUUGGUUAAGUCCAGCAACGAGCGCAACCCUUAUCGUUAGUUGCCACGCGUAAUGGCGGGAACUCUAGCGAGACUGCCGAGGUUAACUCGGAGGAAGGUGAGGAUGACGUCAAGUCCGCAUGGCCUUUAUGUCCAGGGCUACACACGUGCUACAAUGGUCGAUACAGAAGGAUGCCAAACCGCGAGGUGGAGCAAAUCCUAUAAAAUCGAUCUCAGUUCGGAUUGCAGUCUGCAACUCGGCUGCAUGAAGUUGGAAUUGCUAGUAAUGGCGUGUCAGCAAUAACGCCGUGAAUACGUUCCCGGGCCUUGUACACACCGCCCGUCACACCAUGGGAGCUGUUUAUACCCGAAGUCACUGACUCAACCGUAAGGGGAGAGGUGCCUAAGGUAUGGAUGGUGACUGGGGUGAAGUCGUAACAAGGUA
RNAcentral lists this ribosomal RNA (1463 nucleotides) under metagenome. RNAcentral's name for it is "bacterial SSU rRNA". It matches the Rfam family "Bacterial small subunit ribosomal RNA". The record is from RNAcentral.